AGAGUUUGAUCCUGGCUCAGAUUGAACGCUGGCGGCAUGCCUUACACAUGCAAGUCGAACGGUAACAGCACUUCGGUGGCUGACGAGUGGCGAACGGGUGAGUAAUACAUCGGAACGUGCCCGAGAGUGGGGGAUAAUGCAGCGAAAGCUGUGCUAAUACCGCAUACGAUCUACGGAUGAAAGCAGGGGACCGCAAGGCCUUGCGCUCACGGAGCGGCCGAUGGCAGAUUAGGUAGUUGGUGGGAUAAAAGCUUACCAAGCCGACGAUCUGUAGCUGGUCUGAGAGGACGACCAGCCACACUGGGACUGAGACACGGCCCAGACUCCUACGGGAGGCAGCAGUGGGGAAUUUUGGACAAUGGGCGAAA
RNAcentral lists this ribosomal RNA (368 nucleotides) under uncultured bacterium. RNAcentral's name for it is "bacterial SSU rRNA". It matches the Rfam family "Bacterial small subunit ribosomal RNA", at positions 8 to 380 of the family's 1533-position model. The record is from RNAcentral.